GGGAAGAGAGGCUGUCCCCAGGGAAGAUGUUCUGACUCCGGUCUUUGUCAGGGAGCCCAGGAGAGGCUUCCCUGGGACGACAUCUUCCCUGAUGGGGACAGGCCCACCUGUGUCUUCUGCUGGCCUGUCUGUGCAGGGAGGUGGCUGUGGGGUGACGGCUGGAACAAGAGGACCCAGAGGUCAAGGAUGGACUGUCAGACACGAGGACAACACCUGUGGCUGUGACAGAAAGUCACAGGCCUGUCGGGGAUUUCUCCUUUGUGGGUGCGAUACUAUAUCAGCUUAGCUCUGUUCGGGGUCCUAUUGAUACCUAUACAUAUAGUGCAGAUGACAACCAUA
This is a long non-coding RNA of Herpailurus yagouaroundi (jaguarundi), 339 nucleotides long. RefSeq lists it as uncharacterized. The record is from RefSeq and is a predicted model, not a curated record. NCBI's taxonomy places the organism in Eukaryota, Metazoa, Chordata, Mammalia, Carnivora, Felidae. The transcript is spliced from 2 exons.